GUCUUAGUUCGUGGAGUGAUCUGUCUGCUUAAUUGCGUUUCACUAAGGGCCCAUAAAUUCAAGGUAUGUUAGCUAUCGUUUCUCAAUUGACCCCUUGUCUUCGAUAAGCGCGUGUCUUUUAGAGUUUAAACAUUGCGCAUGCUGUUGGGUCCUGAAAGCAACGAACGUGACCGCAACGUCUUAUUGCCUUUAUCUUGUUAUAUUCUAAUUUAAUUAGAAAUAACUAACAGAGGCUAAUUUAAAAUUAGACGGACCGCUGUACUUUUCUUAAACCAGAGGAAGGUUGCGGCAAUAACAGGUCUGUGAUGCCCUUAGAUGUUCCGGGCUGCACACGUGCUACAAUGAUCAGUACAGUGAGCAUCUCAAUAUUAUACACCGUAUUAAGCGCUUAGUUGCGAUUAUUGGCUCAUUAUUGGGUCUUUUAAUUGUAUUUCUAAUGCGCGCGGUAAAGCCUGCUUCGAGAGUAAGUGGGUAAUCCAUUGGAAGUAAUGAUUUCUCUUUUUAUAGCACACCUAUAUACGGCAUUCAUUCCCGGGACGACUAGUUUCGUCUUUUUUGUGCGAAUGUAAUGUAUUCUUUAUCCGUAUGUGCGAUUGUCAAUU
This 602-nucleotide ribosomal RNA is filed under the name Neogloboquadrina dutertrei. RNAcentral describes it as "SSU rRNA". The stretch from base 1 to 446 matches the Rfam family "Eukaryotic small subunit ribosomal RNA", at positions 1291 to 1608 of the family's 1831-position model. The record is from RNAcentral. Lineage: Eukaryota; Foraminifera; Rotaliida; Globorotaliidae.